This is a non-coding RNA of Tricholoma furcatifolium, 82 nucleotides long. The record is from the annotation of a GenBank genome assembly. Lineage: Eukaryota; Fungi; Basidiomycota; Agaricomycetes; Agaricales; Tricholomataceae.
UCUUUGCUAGUAUAUCGGUUAGUACACGCGCCUGUCAUGUGACUUUCCGCGCGAAAGCUGGGUUCGACUCCCAGGCAAAGAG